GAGUACUGCAUGGGAAAUCCGUACUAUUCCAUCGAAGCUCGUCAGGUUUUGGACGCACCAGCAUCCCGUGUCAGCAUCCCCAUCUCCGCAUCCGACCUCCUCGCCCUGGGCCUCAGCCCCUGCUCCGACUUCGCCUUCAUCUUGGCGGUCCGCAUCCACCUUCCCUCGGGCGGGGACUACUACGUGGCCUGGGACUGGGGCGGAUGCAACCGGGAUGGAUCCGACCAGCUGUGGCCGCUGGCAAGGCUAGGACUGCACCACUGCCCGUGCCCAUCACCCCCCGAUGGCACCGCCCCCAACCACGGUCCUAUGCAAUCUCCGGCGUCCGGCUCCCCCUCGCCGCCUCAAGCCAUGAAGGACUGCUCUCUAGCCGAGAAGGUCUCCCUUCCGGGCGACGCAACGUUCAUCGCGGGGAACCUAACAGACCUCCAGAUCCGCGGAAGCAGCCCUGGCGUCGCCACGCUCUACACCAACACGCCCAACCUCGGUGACAUCACCUUCACCAUCUCCUUCGCGCAGACCGCUCCGUCCGGCAAUCGCACGACUGCUGCACCCGCGCCGCCAAAGGCCUCCUGGGGCUUAUUCUCCUCGGAGGAGUUCAUGCGGCUAUCGCUGCAAUUCGCUGCGACAAACCGAUCGGCGGAGGGUUUGGGAUCCGCGGGACCGAGUACCACCUGCACCGAGCCGAGCCUACCCUGGAGUCGUACCCUGGACGACCAGACGUCAUCGUUUAAUGUCACCAUGACCAGCUCAGAUCUCAGGCUCGCAGGGUUGCAGACAUGCUCCGAAACCCAGCUGGUGUUCAUGGCCCUAGUGGAAUCGUACGGACUCGUUCAAAGCGAUCUGCGGUGGGAGCUGUACCGGCAGUACGUGGCGUGGCAGACGCUGCAGGGGUGUGUGGAUGGCGGGAACGUCAGUUAUGCUGCGUUCUCGCUGUCGUACUGCCCCUGUGAGUCACCGCCGCCUCCGUCGCCAGCGCCAUUAGCUCCGCCAUCCCCGCCACCGCCUCCAUCCCCGCCGCCGCAGCCACCCCUGCCGCCGCGCCCACCUCAGCCGCCGCUGCCGCCGCUGUCCUGCGGCUCGGGCUUCACGUUCCUUAGCAACGGUGUUCCGGUGAAGGGCAUCACCUCCGAUGUACUGCUUGACGUACAGGGCGCCAUUAACAACUUCGAUUUCAGCUCGACGGAUUACCUCAACGCCAGCUCCGCCGCUCGUCUCUCUGUGAAGCCCAAUGCGCCUGGAAUCGCCACACUGGACUUAUUCCUGGACUUGCCUGCCGGUACGGAAGUGUACUGGCAGCUGUACAACAACGCCACGUACGAACAAGCCGUAUGGGUUACGGAUUACACGAUAGGGCAGGAGUACUGUCUCGGGAGUCCGUACAACGCGAUGUUCAGUCCUCGUGCUGUUCUCGACGCACCCACUGCCAAAUUCAGCAUCCCCAUCUCCGCAUCCGACCUCCUCGCCCUGGGCCUCAGCCCCUGCUCCGACUUCGCCUUCAUCUUGGCGGUCCGCAUCCACCUUCCCUCGGGCGGGGACUACUACGUGGCCUGGGACUGGGGCGGAUGCAACCGGGAUGGAUCCGACCAGCUGUGGCC
This 1598-nucleotide long non-coding RNA is filed under the name Volvox carteri. Its description in RNAcentral is "long non-coding RNA (VCAR_LNC002133)". The record is from RNAcentral. Lineage: Eukaryota; Viridiplantae; Chlorophyta; Chlorophyceae; Chlamydomonadales; Volvocaceae.